RNAcentral lists this ribosomal RNA (365 nucleotides) under Culex quinquefasciatus (southern house mosquito). RNAcentral describes it as "partial 16S ribosomal RNA". The stretch from base 227 to 365 matches the Rfam family "Bacterial large subunit ribosomal RNA", at positions 2473 to 2611 of the family's 2925-position model. The record is from RNAcentral. Lineage: Eukaryota; Metazoa; Arthropoda; Insecta; Diptera; Culicidae.
GAAUUUUAUUUUUUAAUUAAAAAGUUAAAAUAAAAUUAAAGGACGAGAAGACCCUAUAGAUCUUUAUUUUUGUUAUUUAUAAAUUAAAAAGAAUUUUAAAAUUUAUAAUUUAAUAAAAAAUUUUAUUGGGGUGAUAUUAAAAUUUAAAAAACUUUUAAAAUUUAUUAACAUAAAUAUAUGAAUAAAUGAUCCAGUUUUAUUGAUUAAAAAUUUAAGUUACCUUAGGGAUAACAGCGUAAUUUUUUUUUAGAGUUCAUAUCGACAAAAAAGAUUGCGACCUCGAUGUUGGAUUAAGAGUUAUUUUUAGGUGUAGAAGUUUAAAGUUUAGGUCUGUUCGACCUUUGAAUUCUUACAUGAUCUGAGUU